Molecule: small nucleolar RNA, 67 nt
Organism: Ailuropoda melanoleuca (giant panda)
Lineage: Eukaryota; Metazoa; Chordata; Mammalia; Carnivora; Ursidae
Source: Ensembl
GGAUCAAUGAUGAGCACAAUUGUCUGAGGAUGCUGAGGGACUCAUUCCAGAUGUCAAUCUGAGGUCC